This 497-nucleotide ribosomal RNA is filed under the name uncultured bacterium. Its description in RNAcentral is "partial 16S ribosomal RNA". It matches the Rfam family "Bacterial small subunit ribosomal RNA", at positions 28 to 507 of the family's 1533-position model. The record is from RNAcentral.
GAUGAACGCUGGCGGCGUGCCUAAUACAUGCAAGUCGAGCGAACAGACGAGGAGCUUGCUCCUCUGACGUUAGCGGCGGACGGGUGAGUAACACGUGGAUAACCUACCUAUAAGACUGGGAUAACUUCGGGAAACCGGAGCUAAUACCGGAUAAUAUAUUGAACCGCAUGGUUCAAUAGUGAAAGACGGUUUUGCUGUCACUUAUAGAUGGAUCCGCGCCGCAUUAGCUAGUUGGUAAGGUAACGGCUUACCAAGGCAACGAUGCGUAGCCGACCUGAGAGGGUGGUCGGCCACACUGGAACUGAGACGCGGUCCAGACUCCUACGGGAGGCAGCAGUAGGGAAUCUUCCGCAAUGGGCGAAAGCCUGACGGAGCACCGCCGCGUGAGUGAUGAAGGUCUUCGGAUCGUAAAACUCUGUUAUUAGGGAAGAACAAAUGUGUAAGUAACUAUGCACGUCUUGACGGUACCUAAUCAGAAAGCCACGGCUAACUACGUG